CUAACCUAUAAAAUCCUGCAUAAAAGCAGCAAUAAACGCUCAGUGGAGUCAGUUCUUCUUCACCCUUCAAAACGUAGCUGUGUCUCGUUGUUGAAAGGGAAUUUGCAGCUUAAUCACUAGCUCUUUUCAGAGCUCUGCCUCUCUACUGCUGCAGGGAUCCAGCGGAUGGACUUCACCUCUCCCCUACAGCCCAGCAUCUUGCCCAGAGGAAGGACGUCACCAACGGCAGAUACCCCUCACUACCCUGG
This is a non-coding RNA of Pelobates cultripes (western spadefoot toad), 248 nucleotides long. NCBI's taxonomy places the organism in Eukaryota, Metazoa, Chordata, Amphibia, Anura, Pelobatidae. The record is from the annotation of a GenBank genome assembly.